Molecule: ribosomal RNA, 424 nt
Filed under: uncultured Megamonas sp.
Lineage: Bacteria; Bacillati; Bacillota; Negativicutes; Selenomonadales; Selenomonadaceae
Description: bacterial SSU rRNA
Rfam family: Bacterial small subunit ribosomal RNA
Source: RNAcentral
CCUACGGGAGGCAGCAGUGGGGAAUAUUGCACAAUGGGCGAAAGCCUGAUGCAGCGACGCCGCGUGAGCGAAGAAGUAUUUCGGUAUGUAAAGCUCUAUCAGCAGGGAAGAUAAUGACGGUACCUGACUAAGAAGCACCGGCUAACUACGUGCCAGCAGCCGCGGUAAUACGUAGGGGGCAAGCGUUAUCCGGAUUUACUGGGUGUAAAGGGAGCGUAGACGGUGUGGCAAGUCUGAUGUGAAAGGCAUGGGCUCAACCUGUGGACUGCAUUGGAAACUGUCAUACUUGAGUGCCGGAGGGGUAAGCGGAAUUCCUAGUGUAGCGGUGAAAUGCGUAGAUAUUAGGAGGAACACCAGUGGCGAAGGCGGCUUUCUGGACUGUAACUGACGCUGAGGCUCGAAAGCUAGGGUAGCGAACGGGAUU